CUCAGAUUCUACCAAUAUGGACAGCACGUAUUACUCAUAUAGUUUGAAGUCUUAGAUCUCCCAGAAAUGUAGAAAAUAUUUUUUGCAGUCAGUGUUACUUCCAGAAGUUGUCUGAAAUUAUGACUCUCCCCCUCUGUUUAGAACCAUAUAAGUCCUGGGGUUUUGUGUCAUGUAAGAAAGGGUUGGGAAUUGAAAAGAACAGCUGUUAGGCUUCUUUCCAACUCUGAAGCCUGGUACUCAAACUAGAUUUAAUUUGAUCUAGAAAAAUGCAAAAAGGUUUUCUGUUGCUUAGGUUGGCUCAAGUCUGUGGAUUGGGGUCUCGUCUGCUUCACCAGUACCAGUGGCUGUCUGGGGCAUGCUAUUCUCAUUGGAGACCACAGAAAUGUAAGUCAGCAGGCCAAACCACACAGACUUAUUUAAAACUUCUGCUUGCAUCACAUUUGCUCACAUUCUGUUGUCCUAUACAAAUCACUUGGCCAAGCCCAACUGUAGUGGGCUGGGAUACAUACUCUGCCUACAGUGGGAGGCAGUGAAAAGUCACAUGGCAAAGAGUGAGGAUGUGCAACUUUAUUAGGAAGUGAGUGAAGAAUUGAGAGUAAUAAUCUUGUAUAUCAUAAACCUCAAAGCAGCUGUGUGGAUUGUCUAUUGUUAACUCACCUUUAUCCCUGGCCCUUAUAUUAAAUGUACCGAUUGCACUGCAUUUCAGGGGUGAAGCUUCGCAUAUUAAUUGGCUUUGGCUGCCAUAACAAAACACUAUAGACUGGCCAGCUUAAACAACAGACAUUUAUUUCUCACAGUUCUGGAGGCUGGGAACCUGAGAUCAGGGUGCCAGCAUGGUUGGGUUCUGGUAAGAGCUCUCUGCUUGGCUUGCUGCCUUUUCACAGUGACCUUAUGUGGUGGGUAGAGAGAGGGAGCAAGCUUUCUGGUAUCUUUUUAUAGGAGCACCAAUUCCAUUAUGGGGGGCCCACCCUAAUGACCUUGUUUAUUAAAUCUAAUUAUUUCCUAAAGGGACUGUCUCUAAAUAUCAUCACAUUUGGGGGUUAGGCUGUCAACAUGUGAAUUGUGGGGGACACAUUUCAGACCAUAGUACCCAAGAGCAAUAUUUUCUGAAACCCCUAGCCUACUGGGUCAGAUUCUGUUAAUGAGAAACACUUAAUUGGGAUAUGCAAUGUUGAAAAUUAGAGGACAUUGUCUGUCAGCAGGUGGGCAGGUAAAAGGCAAAGAGCAUGAAUUUACUUUGAAUUCUGGCUACUUUUCCCAAUCACUUGCUUUGGUGUGGGGGGCAGCUGAGAUGGGCCAUCAGCAGAGGUUUUUCCAUGAUGCUUGUCUUCUCACUUCUGAAAGCAGCGGUUUCCCCGAUUUUGUAAGCACUUAUUAUGUUUUACUGACGUUAAGAUGCCAUCCAUGGUGUCAAUAAGAAAGAAAAAAGCUACCAUUAAAAAGCUAAAAUUUU
This 1453-nucleotide long non-coding RNA is filed under the name Bos indicus x Bos taurus (hybrid cattle). RNAcentral's name for it is "lncRNA (ENSBIXG00000026096.1)". The record is from RNAcentral. Lineage: Eukaryota; Metazoa; Chordata; Mammalia; Artiodactyla; Bovidae.